Molecule: unclassified non-coding RNA, 300 nt
Filed under: uncultured Lepista
Lineage: Eukaryota; Fungi; Basidiomycota; Agaricomycetes; Agaricales; Tricholomataceae
Description: partial contains 5.8S ribosomal RNA, internal transcribed spacer 2, and large subunit ribosomal RNA
Rfam family: 5.8S ribosomal RNA (bases 1-52)
Source: RNAcentral
AACGCACCUUGCGCUCCUUGGUAUUCCGAGGAGCAUGCCUGUUUGAGUGUCAUUAAAUUCUCAACCUUUUCAGCUUUUGCAAGUUGAAUUUGGCUUGGAUGUGGAGGUUGCGGGCUUCUCAGAAGUCGGCUCUUCUUAAAUGCAUUAGCGGAACCUUUGUGGACCAGCUUUGGUGUGAUAAUUAUCUACGCCACUGUUGUGAAACAGCUUUACAUGGGGUUCAGCUUCUAACUGUCCAUUGACUUGGACAAUUUUUGACAUCUUGACCUCAAAUCAGGUAGGACUACCCGCUGAACUUAA